UUGCGAAUCACGGCAUGAGCCGCCACUGCCUUUUAAGUAGUGCCGACGUGAAAAGAUCUUUUUCUUCAUUUGCAGAUGUCUUCACGUAGCGCAGAACGCAAUUUACACCCGAACAUUUGGAACAAAUUUUCACUAUGUAUUUUAAUAAUCGUUCUUAAAAAGUCAAGUGACAGCAUCGCUAUUAUCCGUUUUUUUAAAAACCCAGUGACAGUGGCACAAUCAGAAAAAAAUUGCCUUGUAUGGCUUGAAGUACAGAAAUUUAUGAACUCUAGUUGUAUAUUGCUCAGCCCAAAGCCAGGUGCGCAAGAAACCUGUAUGGAAGCUGGAGUGCUAUGACACGGAGGCAAUACUGGUAUAGACUUCGUGCAUCCAUUUUGCCUUCCCGACCUUCUUUACUUUAUUAUGGUCUUUCCGGCCUUUAUCAUGUAAGCAGUGGCAUCACUCACAAAUAGUAAUAUUUUUUCGUCAUAGCUACCAAACUAUUUAAAGACAAUGUCGAUACAUUAUCGCUAUGAAAUAACGCAAAAGUAAAAUAAAACCAU
Long non-coding RNA from Tribolium castaneum (red flour beetle), 542 nucleotides. RefSeq lists it as uncharacterized. The transcript is spliced from 3 exons. NCBI's taxonomy places the organism in Eukaryota, Metazoa, Arthropoda, Insecta, Coleoptera, Tenebrionidae. The record is from RefSeq and is a predicted model, not a curated record.